Molecule: long non-coding RNA, 227 nt
Filed under: Elaeis guineensis (African oil palm)
Lineage: Eukaryota; Viridiplantae; Streptophyta; Magnoliopsida; Arecales; Arecaceae
Description: long non-coding RNA (EGUI_LNC028036)
Source: RNAcentral
GGGAAUUUCACUUGCAAUUUAUAUUUAUGAUUCUUUUUUCUAACCAAGAAGAUAUUUCUUUUACCAAAAAAAGACACAUGCUUAGGUUUUUUCUACUCAAACAUCCUUUGCCUUUGUUUAAUGAAAACAUCAGACAAGCAAUGUUGGAAGACAUAUAAGAGAGUAUUUGAUAGAUUGUUAGGAUCCUAUAUAAGUUAAAAUAAAUGAAAGGAUGUUUUCUCCUCUGC